This 846-nucleotide ribosomal RNA is filed under the name Amanita pseudopantherina. Its description in RNAcentral is "eukaryotic LSU rRNA". It matches the Rfam family "Eukaryotic large subunit ribosomal RNA", at positions 90 to 914 of the family's 3401-position model. Lineage: Eukaryota; Fungi; Basidiomycota; Agaricomycetes; Agaricales; Amanitaceae. The record is from RNAcentral.
CGAGUGAAGAGGGAAGAGCUCAAAUUUGAAAUCUGGCAGUGUUUUGCUGUCCGAGUUGUAAUCUAGAGAAGUGCUGCCCGUGCUGGACCAUGUACAAGUCUCCUGGAAUGGAGCGUCACAGAGGGUGAGAAUCCCGUCUUUGACAUGGACUGCCAGUGCAUUUGUGGUGUGCUCUCAAAGAGUCGAGUUGUUUGGGAAUGCAGCUCUAAAUGGGUGGUAAACUCCAUCUAAAGCUAAAUAUUGGCGAGAGACCGAUAGCGAACAAGUACCGUGAGGGAAAGAUGAAAAGAACUUUGGAAAGAGAGUUAAACAGUAUGUGAAAUUGUUGAAAGGGAAACGCUUAAAGUCAGUCGUGUCGGCCAGGGAUCAACUCAGUAUUAUCUGCUGGGUGUAUUUCCUGAUCUGAUGGGCCAACAUCAGUUUUGACUGCUGGAAAAGGACAGAGGGAAUGUGGCACCUUUGGGUGUGUUAUAGCUCUCUGUCGGAUGCAGUGGUUGGGACUGAGGAAAGCAGCAUGCCGCAAGGCCGGGUCGUUUCGACCACGUUCAUGCUGAGGAUGUUGGCAUAAUGGCUUUAAUCGACCCGUCUUGAAACACGGACCAAGGAGUCUAACAUGCCUGCGAGUGUUUGGGUGGCAAACCCGAGUGCGGAAUGAAAGUGAAAGGUUGAGAUCCCUGUCAUGGGGAGCAUCGACGCCCGGACCUGAGCUCUUGCAAAGGAUCUGCGGUAGAGCAUGUAUGUUAGGACCCGAAAGAUGGUGAACUAUGCCUGAAUAGGGUGAAGCCAGAGGAAACUCUGGUGGAGGCUCGUAGCGAUUCUGACGUGCAAAUCGAUCGUCGAAUUUGG